UAAGGAAUAUUGGACAAUGGGCGCAAGCCUGAUCCAGCCAUGCCGCGUGAAGGAUGAAUGUCCUCUGGAUUGUAAACUUCUUUUAUUUGGGACGAAAAAAGAGCAUUCUUGCUCACUUGACGGUACCAAGUGAAUAAGCACCGGCUAACUCCGUGCCAGCAGCCGCGGUAAUACGGAGGGUGCAAGCGUUAUCCGGAUUCACUGGGUUUAAAGGGUGCGUAGGCGGGUAGGUAAGUCAGUGGUGAAAUCUCGGAGCUUAACUCCGAAACUGCCAUUGAUACUAUCUAUCUUGAAUAUUGUUGAGGUUUGCGGAAUAUGUCAUGUAGCGGUGAAAUGCAUAGAUAUGACAUAGAACACCUAUUGCGAAGGCAGCAGGCUAAUCAUAUAUUGACGCUGAGGCACGAAAGCGUGGGGAUCAAACAGG
RNAcentral lists this ribosomal RNA (424 nucleotides) under Bacillota bacterium. Its description in RNAcentral is "Firmicutes bacterium partial 16S ribosomal RNA". It matches the Rfam family "Bacterial small subunit ribosomal RNA", at positions 355 to 776 of the family's 1533-position model. Lineage: Bacteria; Bacillati; Bacillota. The record is from RNAcentral.